UACGGAGGGUGCAAGCGUUAUCCGGAUUCACUGGGUUUAAAGGGUGCGUAGGCGGCCAACUAAGUCAGACGUGAAAUCCCUCGGCUUAACCGGGGAACUGCAUCUGAUACUGGAUGGCUUGAGUUCGGGAGAGGGAUGCGGAAUUCCAGGUGUAGCGGUGAAAUGCGUAGAUAUCUGGAGGAACACCGGUGGCGAAGGCGGCAUCCUGGACCGACACUGACGCUGAGGAGCGAAAGCCAGGGGAGCAAACGGG
RNAcentral lists this ribosomal RNA (253 nucleotides) under uncultured bacterium. Its description in RNAcentral is "partial 16S ribosomal RNA". It matches the Rfam family "Bacterial small subunit ribosomal RNA", at positions 524 to 776 of the family's 1533-position model. The record is from RNAcentral.